CUGAGUUUACGCUCUACAACCCUUUGUGAACAUACCUAUAACUGUUGCUUCGGCGGGCAGGGUCUCCGUGACCCUCCCGGCCUCCCGCCCCCGGGCGGGUCGGCGCCCGCCGGAGGAUAACCAAACUCUGAUUUAACGACGUUUCUUCUGAGUGGUACAAGCAAAUAAUCA
RNAcentral lists this unclassified non-coding RNA (171 nucleotides) under uncultured Colletotrichum. RNAcentral's name for it is "sequence contains ITS1". The record is from RNAcentral. Lineage: Eukaryota; Fungi; Ascomycota; Sordariomycetes; Glomerellales; Plectosphaerellaceae.